GACGAACGCUGGCGGCGUGCUUAACACAUGCAAGUCGAACAGAAAGGCCCUGCUUUUGUGGGGUGCUCGAGUGGCGAACGGGUGAGUAACACGUGAGUAACCUGCCCUUGACUUUGGGAUAACUUCAGGAAACUGGGGCUAAUACCGGAUAGGAGCUCCUGCUGCAUGGUGGGGGUUGGAAAGUUUCGGCGGUUGGGGAUGGACUCGCGGCUUAUCAGCUUGUUGGUGGGGUAGUGGCUUACCAAGGCUUUGACGGGUAGCCGGCCUGAUAGGGUGACCGGCGAGAUUUGGGCGGAGAUACGGCACAGACUCCUACGGGAGGCAGCAGUGGGGAAUAUUGCACAAUGGGCGGAAACCUUGUGCAGCAUCACCGCGUGAGAGAUGACAGCCUUCGGGUUGUGAACCGCUUUCGCCUGUGACAAAGCGUGAGUGACAGUAAGUGGUAAAGAAGCACCGGCUAACUACGUG
This 468-nucleotide ribosomal RNA is filed under the name uncultured bacterium. RNAcentral's name for it is "partial 16S ribosomal RNA". It matches the Rfam family "Bacterial small subunit ribosomal RNA", at positions 28 to 507 of the family's 1533-position model. The record is from RNAcentral.